UCAUAGCUGAGUGCUAAAGGGAUCUAAAUAUUGAAGUGAGGAAGACAAAUGAUAGAAGGAUGAAGGUCAAAUGGAAACCUCCAGAGGUCUCAAGCCAACAGAAGCAACAUAUAUGUGAAGAGUUAUUUCAGAAAGGGGGUUUUGGAAGGGGUUUUCAAAGAGAGUGACCCAUCUUCAAAGCAUCUCUGAAGGGACUUUAGUGCCAUUGAACAUCAAAGACUGAACACUGUUACCACAGACCAAGUCCCUUAUUUUUUUAAAAAGACACAACCAACCCAGAGAGGCAAAUUAGCCCUUGGUUAUACAAGAAGUUGUAAGAAGCAGCGUAUCUCUUACGUCUUUUCUUUGCAGUUGCUACAAAGUAAAAGAAAAUCAAUUCGGUGUAUUCUCCAGGAGUAUGAAGGAAAACAGCCCUUAUUUCAAAAAAUUUUGGAUGGAAGAAAACCAAAAUAAUUUGUGUGGUUAUUGUUUUGUAAUACUGAUGGUGAAAUGCAUGUGAAUUAUCCAGACACAUCUUUAUUUCAGCCAUCCUAAAAUUUUGACUAGAAUUACAUAUUAAACCCUAAUUGCAUAAAUGUAAUUAAAAUAUCAGCUUAUCAAUGA
Molecule: long non-coding RNA, 603 nt
Organism: Pan troglodytes (chimpanzee)
Lineage: Eukaryota; Metazoa; Chordata; Mammalia; Primates; Hominidae
Exons: 3
Source: RefSeq, a predicted model, not a curated record